AUGCACAAGAGUACUGUCACCACCAUUCGUUGUGACGAGGUGGCUGCGGUAGCAGUGGAGGAGCACUUUCAGUGUAGGAGGCUGAACUUCCCUAUUCAAUACUUGGGCUUGCCUCUUUCCAUUUACCGUCUUUGUCGACAGGAUCUUCUUCCUCUCAUUGAUAAAUUCUCGGGAAAGUUGAAAGGUUGGAAGCCAAAGAUGCUGGCUACUGCGGGUCGUCUAACUCUCACUCGCUCGGUUCUUAUGGCUCUGCCCAUUCAUCUGAUGACGGUUCUUCCCAUGCCGGCUUGGGCUUUAAAGAUCAUGAAUAGACGUUGUCGUGGGUUUAUUUGGAAGGGGGAAGAGGAGAUCAGUGGAGGGCAUUGUUUGCUACCCUGG
This 378-nucleotide ribosomal RNA is filed under the name Triticum aestivum (bread wheat). Its description in RNAcentral is "partial small subunit ribosomal RNA". The record is from RNAcentral. Lineage: Eukaryota; Viridiplantae; Streptophyta; Magnoliopsida; Poales; Poaceae.